RNAcentral lists this ribosomal RNA (274 nucleotides) under uncultured bacterium. RNAcentral's name for it is "partial 16S ribosomal RNA". It matches the Rfam family "Bacterial small subunit ribosomal RNA", at positions 523 to 796 of the family's 1533-position model. The record is from RNAcentral.
AUACGGAGACGGCGAGCGUUGCUCGGAUUCAUUGGGCGUAAAGGGUCCGCAGGCGGCCGGUAAAGUCGGGUGUGAAAUCUCGCAGCCUAACUGCGAGCGGUCAUUCGAAACUAAUCGGCUAGAGGACUGGAGAGGAGACUGGAAUUGUCGGUGUAGCGGUGAAAUGCGUAGAUAUCGACAAGAACACCUGUGGCGAAGGCGGGUCUCUGGACAGUUCCUGACGCUCAGGGACGAAAGCUAGGGGAGCAAACGGGAUUAGAAACCCCGGUAGUCC